This is a long non-coding RNA of Helianthus annuus (common sunflower), 654 nucleotides long. RefSeq lists it as uncharacterized. The transcript has 3 exons. The record is from RefSeq and is a predicted model, not a curated record. Lineage: Eukaryota; Viridiplantae; Streptophyta; Magnoliopsida; Asterales; Asteraceae.
ACAGUGGAAUCUGAUUGGUAGUCAACAAUGUUUGAUCUACUUCCUGAUUCAAGAAAGCGACCUCACCUAACCAUUGAUUUCUUAUAAUCAAGACUUGCAACCACCUCAAACUCAAAUCUCAGUUGUUUUUCCGGCGAACGUUUUUUUGUCAAGACAUACUACCAGAUUCAAGUUUUGACGAAAUUGUACUAGGGAGACGCAAGGGAGAAGCUAGUUGAAGCGAUUGAGGAACUGAAGCUGGAUACAUUGGUCAUGGGUAGCAGAGGACUGAGUACUCUCAAGAGGUUCAGCCACGAUGUUGUUCGCCGGUUCAACCAAUCAGACCCGCAACCGGCUGGCCCAAACAAAGGCGGUUCAGGGGCACUUGACCGGAGCGGUCAUGUAGGCGAUUUCUAGUCCUGUCCGGUUCAGUUCUGAGAUAAUUGUGUUUUGUCAAGUGACCAUUUUAGCUAGGAAUGUGUAACAUUUGAGUGAAAGUAGUUAACCUAAACUAGUAUCCGAAUAGGCGAAUACUCUUGUUUGUGUCCUGGUUACAGUUAUAGCCCAAUAGUGGACGUGUGGUUCGCUACCCGUCAGUAUCAGCCUGGUCCAAAACCGGGUUUUCUUUAUUUAACUUUAUCCCCCGAUUAGUCUGAUAUUAGGUUUCAAUCGCUA